AAACCCUUCAUGUCAAACGCCCAUCCAACUGAUAAAUUGUCCUUGAACCUGGUGUAUCGUACAUGUGUGCACCAUGAUUUUUUUAUUUUUUUUUGAGAGAUAGGUAGCACGCUACCUGCCUCGUCUAUUUUAUUUGAAAAUAAACUUAGCUGAAAAUGUGAAUCAACUAGAAUUCGAACUUGGGUCUCGGAUACCAACCAUCAAGCCCUUCGCCACUUGCUUUACGGACGGUUGGUUGCACCAUAAUUUUUUAAUCUCCAUUAUAUUUCAUAUAAUAACUUGAACUCCGAACUAAAGCUCUCUAUUUUUGAAAACCACGCAUGAUCUUGAACAUUCGUCCUCCUUUCUAGCACUGUGUGGCUAUUGAAUUAGAUGAUCAUAUUACAAAUAAUCAAUUCAAAUUAGUACAGAUUUAAGUCGUAA
RNAcentral lists this long non-coding RNA (423 nucleotides) under Ananas comosus (pineapple). Its description in RNAcentral is "long non-coding RNA (ACOM_LNC004993)". Lineage: Eukaryota; Viridiplantae; Streptophyta; Magnoliopsida; Poales; Bromeliaceae. The record is from RNAcentral.